RNAcentral lists this ribosomal RNA (368 nucleotides) under uncultured bacterium. RNAcentral describes it as "bacterial SSU rRNA". It matches the Rfam family "Bacterial small subunit ribosomal RNA", at positions 796 to 1165 of the family's 1533-position model. The record is from RNAcentral.
CACGCCCUAAACGAUGUCAACUGGUUGUUGGGAAUUUACUUUCUCAGUAACGAAGCUAACGCGUGAAGUUGACCGCCUGGGGAGUACGGCCGCAAGGUUAAAACUCAAAGGAAUUGACGGGGACCCGCACAAGCGGUGGAUGAUGUGGUUUAAUUCGAUGCAACGCGAAAAACCUUACCCACCUUUGACAUGUAUGGAAGAUCGCAGAGACGCGAUUGUGCUCGAAAGAGAGCCAUAACACAGGUGCUGCAUGGCUGUCGUCAGCUCGUGUCGUGAGAUGUUGGGUUAAGUCCCGCAACGAGCGCAACCCUUGCCAUUAGUUGCUACAUUUAGUUGGGCACUCUAAUGGGACUGCCGGUGACAAACCG